GUGGGGAAUCUUAGACAAUGGGGGAAACCCUGAUCUAGCCAUGCCGCGUGAGCGAUGAAGGCCUUAGGGUUGUAAAGCUCUUUCAGCUGGGAAGAUAAUGACUGUACCAGCAGAAGAAGCCCCGGCUAACUCCGUGCCAGCAGCCGCGGUAAUACGGAGGGGGCUAGCGUUGUUCGGAAUUACUGGGCGUAAAGCGCACGUAGGCGGACCGGAAAGUCAGAGGUGAAAUCCCAGGGCUUAACCUUGGAACUGCCUUUGAAACUCCUGAUCUUAAGGUCGAGAGAGGUGAGUGGAAUUCCGAGUGUAGAGGUGAAAUUCGUAGAUAUUCGGAGGAACACCAGUGGCGAAGGCGGCUCACUGGCUCGAUACUGACGCUGAGGUGCGAAAGCGUGGGGAGCAAACAGGAUUAGAUACCCCAGUAGUCC
RNAcentral lists this ribosomal RNA (425 nucleotides) under uncultured bacterium. RNAcentral describes it as "bacterial SSU rRNA". It matches the Rfam family "Bacterial small subunit ribosomal RNA", at positions 354 to 796 of the family's 1533-position model. The record is from RNAcentral.